This 253-nucleotide ribosomal RNA is filed under the name uncultured bacterium. Its description in RNAcentral is "partial 16S ribosomal RNA". It matches the Rfam family "Bacterial small subunit ribosomal RNA", at positions 524 to 776 of the family's 1533-position model. The record is from RNAcentral.
UACAGAGGUCUCAAGCGUUGUUCGGAAUUAUUGGGCGUAAAGGGUGCGUAGGCGGUUCGGUCAGUUGGGUGUGAAAAGUCGAGGCUCAACCUCGAAAUUGCACCCAAUACUACCGAGCUAGAGUACUGCAUAGGUAGCUGGAACUUACGGUGUAGCAGUGAAAUGCGUAGAUAUCAGGAGGAACACCGGUGGCGAAGGCGGGUCUCUGGGCCGAUACUGACGCUGAGGAGCGAAAGCGUGGGGAGCGAACAGG